This 1361-nucleotide ribosomal RNA is filed under the name uncultured bacterium. RNAcentral describes it as "bacterial SSU rRNA". It matches the Rfam family "Bacterial small subunit ribosomal RNA", at positions 28 to 1381 of the family's 1533-position model. The record is from RNAcentral.
AUUGAACGCUGGCGGCAGGCCUAACACAUGCAAGUCGAGCGGUAGCACAGAGAGCUUGCUCUCGGGUGACGAGCGGCGGACGGGUGAGUAAUGUCUGGGAAACUGCCUGAUGGAGGGGGAUAACUACUGGAAACGGUAGCUAAUACCGCAUAACGUCGCAAGACCAAAGUGGGGGACCUUCGGGCCUCAUGCCAUCAGAUGUGCCCAGAUGGGAUUAGCUAGUAGGUGGGGUAACGGCUCACCUAGGCGACGAUCCCUAGCUGGUCUGAGAGGAUGACCAGCCACACUGGAACUGAGACACGGUCCGGACUCCUACGGGAGGCAGCAGUGGGGAAUAUUGCACAAUGGGCGCAAGCCUGAUGCAGCCAUGCCGCGUGUGUGAAGAAGGCCUUCGGGUUGUAAAGCACUUUCAGCGGGGAGGAAGGCGGUGAGGUUAAUAACCUCAUCGAUUGACGUUACCCGCAGAAGAAGCACCGGCUAACUCCGUGCCAGCAGCCGCGGUAAUACGGAGGGUGCAAGCGUUAAUCGGAAUUACUGGGCGUAAAGCGCACGCAGGCGGUCUGUCAAGUCGGAUGUGAAAUCCCCGGGCUCAACCUGGGAACUGCAUUCGAAACUGGCAGGCUAGAGUCUUGUAGAGGGGGGUAGAAUUCCAGGUGUAGCGGUGAAAUGCGUAGAGAUCUGGAGGAAUACCGGUGGCGAAGGCGGCCCCCUGGACAAAGACUGACGCUCAGGUGCGAAAGCGUGGGGAGCAAACAGGAUUAGAUACCCUGGUAGUCCACGCCGUAAACGAUGUCGAUUUGGAGGUUGUGCCCUUGAGGCGUGGCUUCCGGAGCUAACGCGUUAAAUCGACCGCCUGGGGAGUACGGCCGCAAGGUUAAAACUCAAAUGAAUUGACGGGGGCCCGCACAAGCGGUGGAGCAUGUGGUUUAAUUCGAUGCAACGCGAAGAACCUUACCUGGUCUUGACAUCCACAGAACUUUCCAGAGAUGGAUUGGUGCCUUCGGGAACUGUGAGACAGGUGCUGCAUGGCUGUCGUCAGCUCGUGUUGUGAAAUGUUGGGUUAAGUCCCGCAACGAGCGCAACCCUUAUCCUUUGUUGCCAGCGGUUAGGCCGGGAACUCAAAGGAGACUGCCAGUGAUAAACUGGAGGAAGGUGGGGAUGACGUCAAGUCAUCAUGGCCCUUACGACCAGGGCUACACACGUGCCACAAUGGCAUAUACAAAGAGAAGCGACCUCGCGAGAGCAAGCGGACCUCAUAAAGUAUGUCGUAGUCCGGAUUGGAGUCUGCAACUCGACUCCAUGAAGUCGGAAUCGCUAGUAAUCGUAGAUCAGGAUGCUACGGUGAAUACGUUCCCGGGCCU